Molecule: small nucleolar RNA, 195 nt
Filed under: Gossypium arboreum
Lineage: Eukaryota; Viridiplantae; Streptophyta; Magnoliopsida; Malvales; Malvaceae
Description: small nucleolar RNA snoR127
Rfam family: small nucleolar RNA snoR127
Source: Rfam by way of RNAcentral
CUGGAAUGAUGCUUCAUUAGCCAAAUCAGACUUUUUGAUGUGCUCCAUAAGGCAUCAGCUUCAAAGCUAUUUUCUUGAUGUGUUUUUUUAUAAGCGCAACGGUUACCUCUUAGUAACUCUAAUCUAGCUUUGUUGCCUUUUGUUGAAGUGCAUUCUCUGACGAUACCUUCGGGAUUGGUUGCUUAUCUGACCAGA